GUUUGAGGCUCAGUGGUAGAGUUCAAGCUUAGUAUGCACGAGACCCUAGAUUCAAUCCCCAGCACCACA
RNAcentral lists this transfer RNA (69 nucleotides) under Marmota monax (woodchuck). RNAcentral describes it as "tRNA.Thr". Lineage: Eukaryota; Metazoa; Chordata; Mammalia; Rodentia; Sciuridae. The record is from RNAcentral.